GUAUUUGAUUUGUGUUGCGUGUUCGCAAAAGAAGUUCAGGCGGUUAGGAAUCAGUUUGAACCGUUUGAGAAGGGGCAGGCCGCCGUAAGACGGACGCAUCAUGUGCGCCGCAAACGGUCGGGGGAAUCGCUCCCCCGAAACCUGCCACUGUACAGUUGUUCCCGAUGCGACAGUGGUUCUUUAGCCGGAUCUCACAGCAACCUCCGAGUAGAAGUUCUUUUAAUGAUCCUUCCGCAGGUUCACCUACGGAAA
This 252-nucleotide unclassified non-coding RNA is filed under the name uncultured fungus. RNAcentral describes it as "sequence contains ITS1". Lineage: Eukaryota; Fungi. The record is from RNAcentral.